Molecule: transfer RNA, 67 nt
Filed under: Muscidifurax raptorellus
Lineage: Eukaryota; Metazoa; Arthropoda; Insecta; Hymenoptera; Pteromalidae
Description: tRNA-Trp
Rfam family: tRNA
About the family: Transfer RNA (tRNA) molecules are approximately 80 nucleotides in length.
Source: RNAcentral
AAAAUCUUAAGUUAAAAAAACUAUAAACCUUCAAAGUUUAAUAUAUAAGUUAAAUUUAUAGAUUUUA